This is a long non-coding RNA of Oreochromis aureus, 1098 nucleotides long. NCBI's taxonomy places the organism in Eukaryota, Metazoa, Chordata, Actinopteri, Cichliformes, Cichlidae. The record is from Ensembl.
UCACCCUGGGUCAACACACCUGAAUCAAAUUAUUAGUUUAUUACCAGGCCCGUGUUGGAUCAAGGACACAUCUAAAACCUGCAGGACACCGGCCGUUGAGUUGCCCACCCCUGGCUUACAGUGACUGUCCUGCAAAAAGAUGGCAGGAGUGACGCCCACUGUGGUCUUCUGCUGCUGCUUCAUCCGUUUUAAGGUUCAACUUGACACCCACGUGUGCUCUUCUGCAAACCUUGGCUGUAUCAGGUGUCCAAAGCAGGCUGGCCAUUCUUCUCUGACCUCUGGCAUCAACAAGGCACGUCCACCAAGAGAACUGCUGUUCACUGCAUAAUUUCUCUUGUUCAGACUAUUCUCUAUAAACCCUAAAGAUGGUUGUGUGGGGAAAAAACCCAGUAAAUCAGCAGCUUCUGAAAUGUUCAGACCUGGUUUAUGGUUGAACAAUGCUUAUGAUGGUACUUAUAGGGAAAAGGAAAACAAUCCUCAUCACAUUUUUAAAUGUAAGAUAAGAGGACAGUUGAAUAGUGUAUCAUACAUGAUCUGCACCAAUAUAAUACAAAUAAAAAUAUAAAAAGGCAAGAUAAAGCCACUAUACAGCACUUUUCUACUCUGAGCACUCAAAGCCCUUUGCACAACUUGCCUCAUUCACACAAGCACUUUUUCUAUGCUCUUUCUACAUACGUGCUUUCUAUCUAACAUGCACACACAUUCAUACUAUGAUGAAUGCAUUGGAGAGCAACUUGGGAUUAGUAUUUUGCCCAAGGAUAUUGGGCAUGCAGAUAGGAGGGAUCGAACCACUAACCUUUUGAUCAGCAGAUAACCUGUUCCUUAUAUCUACCACUAAAGCCUCUUUUCCAUUAGUAUCUACUCGGUUUGACUUGACUCAACUCUACUGGGUUUUGGUCGUUUUCCAUUACAACUGAGCACUAUACCGGUAUCUAUACCGACUCGGCCAAAAGUCUCAGGAUGUCAUUUGUAUGCACCACAAAUACAGCAGAACAAUGGAGGACGUUGAGGCAAUUCUAUACCUGCUGCUUGGUGUAUGGCUUUCUGUCAGACUCGGUGAUCACGGUGUUGGUUUGUGUGUAGCCAUUUCCCUCCUUG